AGAUAAAGUACCGGACGACACCCUGC
This 26-nucleotide small RNA is filed under the name Bombyx mori (domestic silkworm). Its description in RNAcentral is "piRNA piR-bmo-2107454". Lineage: Eukaryota; Metazoa; Arthropoda; Insecta; Lepidoptera; Bombycidae. The record is from RNAcentral.